AAUAAAUUCACUUUUAAUACAAUUUUGAGAUGGGAAACAGGAUGGGCAAAAGUGCGGACACGCUGGCACUCGAUACGGAAACGAAACAAACCGAACUGAUGAUCAUGAACGCCAUGACGUCGUUCUGCCUGAAAGAGUGCAAGCCGAGCCAGCACGAGUCGCACUUCAGCUCCUUGGAGGAGUGCUCCCUGGCCUGCAAGAACAUAUUCCUCGAGCUGCUGACGGACUUCAAUCAAAGCGAGUGCCAGUGCCCGUGCAAGUGCCAUGGCGCGGAGCCAGCCCCACUGGAAGGCCAGACAAAUUCAAGCAUUUGAUGAAGCAACUUUCUUCUACAUCGAAAAGUACUUCCCAGACAUCAGUCGAAAUUACUGCCAAUGCAAGGGCCAUGGGAAUGGUGACAAAAUUAUGGAAUCAAGAGGGACUAAUGAAUUUGUGGAAUCAUGAAAAAGUUAUAAUAAUAAAUACCCAAAUUGUGAUGAAAUUUUAA
This is a long non-coding RNA of Drosophila persimilis, 487 nucleotides long. RefSeq lists it as uncharacterized. The record is from RefSeq and is a predicted model, not a curated record. The transcript is spliced from 2 exons. Lineage: Eukaryota; Metazoa; Arthropoda; Insecta; Diptera; Drosophilidae.